RNAcentral lists this ribosomal RNA (253 nucleotides) under uncultured bacterium. Its description in RNAcentral is "partial 16S ribosomal RNA". It matches the Rfam family "Bacterial small subunit ribosomal RNA", at positions 524 to 776 of the family's 1533-position model. The record is from RNAcentral.
UACGGAGGGUGCAAGCGUUGUUCGGAAUCACUGGGCGUAAAGGGCGUGUAGGCGGUCCGCUAAGUCUGAUGUGAAAGCCCGGGGCUCACCCCCGGAAGGGCAUUGGAAACUGGCGGACUCGAGUCCCGGAGAGGAAGGUGGAAUUCCUGGUGUAGCGGUGAAAUGCGUAGAUAUCAGGAGGAAUACCGGUGGCGAAGGCGGCUACCUGGACCGAUAUUGACGCUGAGACGCGAAAGCGUGGGGAGCAAACAGG